GCUGGCAGGGGCGUGUGGCAGAGGUAGGGUAGGUAGAGGAUGGGAGGGAGCGGGACAGAGACAGGUCUGACAGCUGCUCUCUUCUCUGGAAUAGAGGGCUUCUGAGGCCUGGAAGGGACACAAUAGCUCCGGGCAACUCCCGGUCUGCUGGAUCUCGCGGUAUGCUAUGGUUCGCACUGGGAUUUCACAGCACUAGCUAGCAGCCCAGGGCACGGGCCAUCGAGGCGGCUGGGUGGGUAGCUGAACCUCGGCCCUAGACUAUUGAUUAGAUGGAAGUGGUGAUCUGGCCGAGAAGGUGGGAGAGAAGACAGGCCCGGUAGCCCAGGGGGAGGAGAAACUAGGAGCCUGAUCCAGAGAGAAAGAGGGGACCCACAGGAGGCUGGCCAAGGUGACAUUUGCUUAGUGGUGUCUGCUAGGUGCUGUCAUGGUGGGUGGCCAGAAGAAAUUAACCAUGUGCCUCUCUACUCCUCCAGUCACCUAAACCCUGAUGCUUGGCCUGUCCCGUUGUGGGCACCAAUGCCUUGUCUUUAAUGUCUAUUAGUAUCCCAAAAGGAAACUGGGAGACACAAAAUGUGUUUGCUUGAACAGACGUGAAAUGAGAUUUAGUCACUGUAGCUUAUCAGCAACCAGGAAUUCCCAGAAGGAAUGUGUUGCUGGGGAAGAAGAAGCAUUUAUUUAUUGCCUACCGUGUACCCUCUUUCCAAUGGUGGCCACCAACAGUCUAUGCCUUCCCCAUUACUUCUGGGCCACUGAGUGGACAGCCACUGAGUGGACGACAACUCGCUCCGUUCACAGGGGUAAGCCACCAUGGAAAUACAAUUUGUUCAGAGACAACCUUGGCAGUAGUUGGCUACAGAAGUAGAUAGUGUGUGACUCUGGUGUCCCCUGCUGCUCUGGCUGAGCCAAAGCAGGGAGAUAGGCCCAGUCUGGUGUCUACAGGGAGGAGAAGCAGGACCAUGGCUUGAUGUCUGAGGACAUAGUCAUCUGCAGUUCUAACACACCCCCUUGGGCUCACUAUCCUGGUGCACUGAGGCACAGAUGCCAGUCUUGAAGGUAGAGAAGGCUGUCUCCUAGGAGGAGAGGGCACUGGGGAGUCUGGGACAAGCCCAGGUGGGUGGCUAUUCCUGGCUCUUAAGAUCUGGAACACCCCCCCCCGACACACACACUUUGGGGCUAUUCAGCUCCCUGACUCUACAUGCCCCUCCCCGGGGGCCUUCUGCACACUUUCCAGAUGAGCUCUAUCAGGGCUUUCUGAACCCUGAGCAGGCCACUUGAGCAGGUGACAGCAGUGGGUGACUGGCAUCCCCACCGCUGGCAGCCAAGGCCUGGGACAGACCGUCUCCCAGGGUCUCCAGCCUCUCAGCUCUGCUCUGAAAUGAAUGCCAUCUGUGUUGGAGCCUGUAGCGUGGUCACACGAAGCCGGGCACAGUCUACUUGGGAAGCAAAGAGGUUUGUUUUGGCUCAUGGAUCUGGAAGUUGAAGUUAAGAUUGGGCAGCCUCGUUGGUUUGGGCCUCUCUGAAGGGCAGCACAGUAUAAGGGGGGGCCUCAUGGUAGAGUGAGCAGUUAACCUCUAGCCAGAAAGCAGAGAGUCCUACCAGGCCUGCCUUUUUCUCUCUGAGGACCCUCCCUCCUCCCCCUCCCCAUCCCCUCGUGUGUAGCUGCUCCCACAGGCCUAACUCUCAAAGGUCUGAUGGUACCGUCCAAUCUUGCUCUCCUGAGCUCCUAGCCUUUAACACUUGGACUUUUGGGGUCACUUACCAUAUUUAGCUGAAAGCGGCAAGCCUCUCAUGGGAUCUUUGGGGGGAAAGGUGGCAGUUAAAAAUGGAUACAUACCAUUUUAAAUCCUGAGCCUAAUACCUGCUACAUAGUAAGUGCUCAAUAAAAAGUGAGCACUGCCUGUAGGACUUAGUGCACAGGGGACAUAGAUGACCUUUAACCUGUCAUUCCAGCCUGGGUUGCCUGCCCAGAUCUAAGCUCCCGGGGCAACCCUGAUCCUUUCUGCAAACACCCAGCCUUGGCAGUCACCUGUGCUCCUUAACGUCAUUCUGUGGAUCUGACCUGCUUUUCUGCUAGGCCCUUCUCUUCUCCACUGAGGCUCCAUGACUCCCCGUGUCUGUUCCCAUUGGUUCCCUACCCUCCCACAGAGCCGUCCCGGGAUAAGGCCACCGCCCCCUCCUGGUGUCCUCAGUCAAGUACACCUGUGUGGUCGGCCAAGAUCCCAGCUUCUCAGAGGGGCAGGCAGUGUCUCUGCGGGUGCCCUGUCUUCUCCAGCUCUCAGAUCUUAACACUAUAAUUACCCCCUCCCCAUUCUGUUUUCAGUAUCUCCUGAAGGAAAGGAAAAGAAAGUACAGACUCAGAAAGGCUGGCCAGCCGGGCCAGCAGUCUACCAAGUGCUGAGACCCAAACGCAUACAUAUACUACCUGUAGGAUAAUGCACUUCCUAUCCUGGCCCCCGGCCCCUGGCCCCAGCCCCUGAUCUGAGGAAAGAAGCCUUGGGUGUCAGUCAGUGAACCUCAACCUCCUACAAAGAUGUGACCUCACUGCUGGUGCUGGAGUUUUUCAUGCUUCUCUGGACAGUGCCCUCCCCUCGGUGGUAGCAACAAGGCAAACUCUCCCCUCACACCUGCCGUAGUACCCCCUGGCUGCCCCAGCCAAGGCCUGCCAGGGUACCCUGCUAAUUCAUGCUGCCUUCUUGGGACCACUGCUGGCCCUGGAAGCAAAGGAAGCCACUCUGAGCCUAGGGCAGUGCCUUGUCAGGUAAAAGGGGACUAGAGCCAAGCCUUCAAGGCCAGCAUGGGCCCUUCUGGCUGGGCUGCCAGUAGGGAGCCUAUGCCUACCUAGGCUGUGUCAAGUAGCUGGCCCUCAGAUUCCUCCAGCCCAUCGGCCCUAGCUAGAGGCAGACGAGCGAUGGCUGCCCCGGGAGGAAGAAGUUGCACAGUGAGAAUCGUGAAGGGAGCAGGUGUCAGUGCCAUUCUAGCACCAGUGCUGGACUUUCCCACGAAUCAAGGGAAGCCGACGUUUUUCCUCUCCGGCCACUUUUAUUCUUUUUUUUCUCCCUUUUUUCUAGGUGUGUGUGGGGCGGGGCACAGGCAAAUUUGAUCCUGAUGCAGAGAUGCGAUCCCUGUUGUCCCCUCCCUUAAAGCCUCUAGCGGCUCUUUAGAAAGGACAAGGGUCCAAUGAUCCAGACCAAGGACGUAAGGGUGAGAGCAGAGGACACUGGGAGUGUUUGUCGUCGGGGUGUGUGUGUGUGUGUGUGUGUGUGUGUAGCUUUCCAGGGAGCAGGGAUGAGAGCAGGAAGCAGGCAGACCAGGGUGAGGUCACCAAAAGGGGUCAGGCUGGUGGUGCAGAGUGCCUGGGCCUCCGGAGUCAUCCCGGCUCCCCUCUUAACCCUGCUUUCUGUGAGUCUUGGUUGCAAAGUAGCAACUGCUCAGUGUGUUAGCUGAACAAACAAGUUUGCAAGUGUGGAACAAGGUACAAGAGAUUCUUUGUCCUAGGACAAAAGGAAACUAAAACAAAGUGAGGGUGUGUGGUGUGUGAUGUGUGGUGUAUGUGUGUGUGGGUGGGGGGGGGGGGAGUGGUUCAGAACUUCUGAGAACUCUGACCAACUUCAAAAGUAUUUCUACAUGCGCUGCCUGGCUGUCAGCUUCCCACCGUGCCCUUCCUCCCUCAGAUAGACCGGUGGUCUGAGACUCAAAUAGGAACAAUAUACUUUGCAGGUUAACACUUCUGUUUGUAGUUAGAGUAAGUCCCUACUUGUCCUAUGUUAGGUCCUUGCAAGUUGACGUUUCUGUUUGUAAUCAAAGUUCCAUUCCUUAGACCUGAUAUGAAAAACAAAACAUAAUUUCCUACCUACACUGAACUUGGGACCCUGUUCACUGGAUAUAAUGACCCUGUCCCUUCCCUUUCCCGGUAUCUGUCAAACGAUGUAAAACAGAUGACUCUCCCUACCUUGUGAACACCUUAUCUCUCCUAUAAAAGGGACCUCAAGAGGCCAAUGGGGUCCCUUGAGUCAGUGGGCUGAAUCAGGGUGAGAGUCCAAGGUUCACCCCAAAACACACCUUGUCAUACCUGGACAGUUGUGGAGUUUGUCUUUUCUCCUCAGGAUUUUCAGGUUUAGCACUGACCAAUCCUUACAUCUCCUGUGUUGGUGAAUAGUGCAUCAUCAGUCUUUGCUUACACUGUACUGUGUAGAUAUUUGCCUCUCACGGCUAUGACCUCAGUUUCCACCGAAUAAUCCCUGCGCUCCCUGCUCCCCGCUCACCCCCAGGUGUCCUCUGGAAACUCAAGAGCACCCUUUAUCCUGCUUUCUAGCUCUUCAGAACCCAGUACCCCCUGAGGUGCGUCCCUGAGCUGCAAAAUGGGGUGGGAUAAUGGUGGCUAAGAAGGUGCUCUGAGGAAAUGAGACCAUCAGCAGAGGGUAUCCCCAGCCCACCUUCCAGGCGUGCCCCAGGCUUCUGGGUCAAGGCCCUCUGUCGCGUGGGAUGCUGUCGUGUGCACCCUGCAGCUGUCUCCUCUCAGAUUCUCAUUGAACAGUUUCUUCUGUGACUGCCUCUCAGAGGAGGCUCCACAUGCUGCUACCACGGCCCAAAGAGGCUGUGGUCGGCCAGCUCUGCAGUCUUUGCCACAAUGGUGGUUUUAAAGAAAGGACUAUCUCCCUCAGCCCCUCACUGCCACAGCCUUGCUUGUGUGUGCUUCUGCCUAUCCCUGAACCUCCUGUCCUUGACAGCCUGCCUUUAUCUGCUCCUUCUCUAGCAGCUUGGGGGCCAGGUUCACUAUCUGUGGACAGCCUGGGGCUCUGAGCCUUUGUGGCUUCCAGGUAGAACAUGGAAACCAGCUCCCAAACCCUGGGCACCGUGGGCCAACCCUGCAGGGGAGCAGCUUAAUGACCUUGUGAGCAGUAAUUACACCCCAGGGUCCAUCUUAAUAACCAGUAUUCCCCCCAUCAGUGUGCCUUAAUUGAAAAUGAGUAGGCGACACAAGUUGCUGUGAGGUUGGUUGGCAAGCCCUUAACGUGAUAUUAAUUGUAGUAAUUAGUAGUCACUUUGUGCUGGAGUCAUCUAUAAAUAGGGGGUCCAUUAGUUUAGCAAAAGAGCAUGAUUUAAAAUGCAAACAAAAGCCCAAUUAGUCAGCUAAAUCACUCAUCUUUUUGAGCAAAUUCCCAUGUUGUAGACAGGAGCCAGCAGAACCUGAGGGUCCUGGUCAGUUUACGGCUUCCGAACGGACACUCCACGGCAGAGGCCUAACUACACAACACUGUCUCUUUAAAUAGGCUUGCCCAAGGAGGUUCUGGUUCUUGGAAGGUUCCAACAGACUCUUACUUUAUUGGCACAGCUAGCGGUCACACUUCUCCCUCUGCUUUCUGAUUGGUUCCCCCCAGAAGCACAGAAGUGCUUUUUAAAGGAACAGUAGCACAGUGCAUGCCCAGACUCUGGGAGAAUGGGUGGUGAAAUGCAGUGGGGAGGGCCUCUCUCCUUAAAUGCAGCUCUUGACAGUCCAGACAGAACGACCCACCAAUGCCAAGUGUCCUGUGACCCAAAUAGACUUGGGGAGCACAGUAUUUCUCAGACUUGAGGGCACACAGUUCAGGUGGACCCAAUAUUCCUCACGGCCUUGGGGUAUAUCUGAGGUGGACACAGUAUUUCUCACAGCUCCAGGCACACGUGUAAACUGGAGUGGCUGCACACAGAAGGCGGCUGGCCUGGAGAGGACUCGGCUGCAAAGGGAGGCAGCUAGAUCCCCGGUGCUUUUUGUUUGGGGAAACACAGGGGUGCUCAAGUACUCUGCCAAGAUGCUACCACCUGGGCACAGGUCCUGCCGGGUGAGGCAGACUACCAGAGCUCUGGUGCUCUGAGCAACCAUGCCAAGUCCUUCCCCAAGCUGCUCCUGCCUGUCCCCCACCUACCCAUCCCCACUCCUGUGCGGCCCACUGGGGUUGCUCUUGACGAAAUUUGCAUUUUAUCAGAGAUAAGCCACAAGAGGCAGCAGCCAUUUCUGAGCAUAGUAAGAAGAGAAGCCGUCCACUCCCCCUCAUCUGAGAAUGAGGGCAGCUCAGCGUGCGGUCCUUGUCCUUCUUACACCCUUUUUAUGUCACUCAGUACUUACAACAGGUGGCUAGGCUUGCUAUUUUGAAUGUCCUAUUUGACAAAAUAAAACAUUGGCAACCCUAUGUGAGUCCCGAAAAUAUCUUUUAGAGGGUUUUUGCCAGGGGAUGAAAUCCAAGUGUCUGGGAUUGUUGCGCUAAAUGGCUGAAUCAGGAACUUGAGGCGCAGUGAGUCAUAGCUAUACAGAUGUAUUCACGGAGGAUGACUGUGGUGUGUGUGUGUGUGUGUAAUAUGGACAUUGACAGACAUAUUUCCCAUGACGAGAACUGAACAUAGAUAAAGAACUAUGCAGAGUCCUGGGAGUAACCUGCUGUCUUACAGUAAGUGAGGAAACUUGUAGCAGUGUUUGCUACUUUGUGGGUUCUUCCUUUUUCCACCCUUUCAACCUCCUAACAGUAGAUAGGAGAGAGAAAAGGCCAGAAAGGAAAAGGGCUAUCACUAGACUGACUCCUGCUGAUUAGGAGCGUUGAACUCCCUGGGGCAAGUCUGAUCUUCACCAUUGGGAGAGCUCAUUUCUUCUUGUUGUUGGUUCUUCUUUGUGCACAGCUACUUACAAACCACAACAACCAACAGUGGCCAUCCAACAAGCCACCACCCACUCACCCUGCCUCUCAGGGCAUUUAUCUCUAGAAGGUCUCCAGAAUUCCAAAGGUCACACACUUGCAGAAACUCAUUUGUAGCUGGCAAAAUCACACCCCUGCUAGAGCACGAGGCAAAUCACAGUCAGCUGCUGUGGACUGUCUGAAGCGGCCCCACAUCCCACACCUGGGACUAAAACAAAAACAUUGUUACAAGAUGCCAACAUUGUCACUAUAGAAACUGAGGCUGAGCCAGGGAAAGAAAACAUCCCAAGCCUUAUACAGUGAUUAGACAGCCCAGGCUCUCUCUUGCCAGCACACACUGGCAGCCUAUUUCCCCAGGUCCUGCAUAAAGACAGGAAGCAACAUACACGAGGACAGUGGAACAUGUUUCACUUCCUGGAAACUCAAAAACCAUCAAACUCAGUUGACAACCAGUCAUACCAUAUGCAGAAAUUAGCUCGCAGGUCAGACAGGGAUAUAGCUUGGUGGUAAAGCACUUGCCAAAUCCAAGUGGUUCAAUCCUCAGUACUGGUUAAAUGGAGGGGGGAAAGGCUAAAGACAGACGGGAGAGCCAAAGGUAGAAAACUACGGGAAGUCUCCGUGCUGUCUGUUGUUCCUCCUGGCAGGUCCUUCAAAGGUCAAUGUGUUAAACGCUUGGUCCCAGCUUGCCUCUCUAGUCCUGGUGCUCUUAAGAGAGAUGAGCCUGGGGAAGUCCUCUGAGUCACUGUGGUGUUCUCUCCAGGGCAGUGUGAGACUCCAGUCUCUUUCUCACUUCUGGGAAAGUCAUGAGGGAAUCGUUUCUCACGGCAGCAUGCUCCCACCUAUGAUGAAUUGUCCAACCCAACGGAGCUCUAAAACAACACACCCAUCUACCUGGAGGUUCCAGCCUCAAUAGGUGUACAAAUAAAAUUUGAUCCGUUCUGGUUCAGUAAAAACAAGCCUUGAACUUCUUACUCCCCUGCCUUUAUUUCCUGAGUGCUGGGAUUACAGAAUUGUACCAUCGCACCCGACUUGGGAAACUUUUUCUAAGUCGGCUGUAGUGGGUAUUUGUUGUCAUGGCUGGAAGCUGACUGACAGCCUCAGAUCUAGCGAUGGAAUCUCUCUCAGUCGUGGGGAUGCACAAUGGCACUAGCAUCGAAGAGACAAAGCCAGCGGUGUGGCAAUUAAAGACGUGUGCUUCAAAGAUUCAAGAACUCCACGGCAACGUGCAGAAAAGGCGACACUCUCUGCAAAUUGCACAUCUCGGUAGUAGACUCUGUCUGAUACAAAGGACUCUGAGGACUCGGAAAAGACAAGACAAAUGAUAUGAACAGAAAUGCCUUCCGAAUCUAAACGCAGUAAGAGUCUGAUUGGCUGUGAAGCAUCAUUAGCCCCCAGGGGAGUGAAAUCAAAGCCUCAGUGAGAUGCCACCUUACACUGGGAUGGGCAAUCUCAAAACUUCUAGGGCUGGUGAAGUAGAAGGAUCUGAACCUCACGUCUCGGAUGGAGUUUGUCAAGGCCUCUGGGAGAGAGGUCUGGAAGCUCCAGAGGGUCACAGGCUGAGUAAUCCCACCCCUUGGUGGAUGCCCACGGGAGCUGAAAGUACACAGCUCCCUCUUGACGCCGGGGAACCACCACAGAGGCAAAGUGACAGUCAAGCGGAGACCUCACAGAUGGGGAAGUGGUCAGCCAGGAAGUGAACAGGAAGGAGUCUGGGGUGUGCUGGGAGCAGCAGCAGCCCCUGUGGCAGCCACCGCAGCCGCCGAAUUCACACCUGAGGUCCCACACAGUAGUUGCGAGAGGACUCAGAGAAGACUGAUCAAAGGACUGCUCAGUAGGUCUUCAGGCGGGUCCCUCUACCAACUGGAGCCGGGGCCAUCCCUGAGCCUAAUGCCUACCUGGCAGCCUGUGGGUCCCGCACCCCUAAAUGGACAACCUUGUCUGACCUCGAUGAGGAUGUGUCUAGUCCCACAGCAACUUGAUGUACAGGGUGAGGAAAUGGGGGUUGACACCCAGAGGGGGGCUUCUCCUUCGACGGGGGAUGGGGAAAGACUUAUGUGAGGGUGAACUGGGAGGAGAGGAAGGGCUGAUGUUUAGCUGUAAAGUGAAUAAAUAAAUUGGAGGAGAAUCUGUUUCAUGGCAUUUAAAAAAAGAUGGCUCCCACCCCAGUUUUCUGCUCCCACGGAUUCCCGGUUGGUCUCUUCCCACUUUCUGCCCUCUUGGCCCUUCUCUUGUCCCUCUGCCUCUAUCCCUUCUCCAGGUCCUCAGCCUUCCCCAAAUAACCCCCCUUAGACCCAUAUUUGUUGCAUGGCGUGAUUUUUGAGGACACCUUGGCCUGGGCCCUGCUCACUGUGUUAUAUUUCACCACACUGGGCAGCUCACUAAACAGGGUUCAGCGGCUGCCUCAUGAUGAUUCCCACAGGCAGCAAAAGCCUCUACCAGGAUUCUAGAGCCAAGGCUUGGACCAGGACCAGGGCUGUCUCCUUGGUGUCUGGCCCUGGCAUAGAUUGUCUAGGAGUUCUACUCUUCCUGGGUGUAACCUAGGCAUAGCCACACGGGGCUAGGUGUGGGGAGGGGCGUAGGCUCCUAUGCCCCCCCCAGGGAUCCCCCACACCACCACUCCACCUCCGCAACCCUAAACUCCAAGUCUCCACUCAGAAGUAUUUUUGGAUGGCCUUUACUUAGCCAUCACCUCUGGUGACAGAAGGCAUCCGCUGUCCCUCUCCCUUACCAGGUAGUGCAAGGCAGGAAGCGCCAGUCCUCCGGUCCUACCUGGGUCUGGGGACAGGCCCUCUCCUGGACUACUCUGACUCCCAGCCCCUAAUCACCUCAUCCAUACACAGAAGUACCAAGUACAGGCCAGCAACCUAGCCACAGAGCUUAUGUGACCAGCACACACACUCCAAAACAGGGCGAGUUCUGGGCACCUUUGUGGGGUACUGGAGCGUGCUGGUGUGUGACAUGUGCAGUGUAUGUAGUAUGACCACGGGGGCAGCCUGUGAAGUUCGAGGGGCAGAGACUCGGUUGGACCCCGGGGGCCACUGUGGCUUUAUUUUUUUUUCACAUUUUUUUUCACUUUUUUUUUUUUUUUUUGGUUCUUUUUUUUUCGGAGCUGGGGACCGAACCCAGGGCCUUGUGCUUCCUAGGUAAGCGCUCUACCACUGAGCUAAAUCCCCAGCCCCGCCACUGUGGCUUUAAAGUUUGUGUUGCCCCAGCCCCUCUGCUGCCAAAGCUUAUCUUGUCCUCAGGUCCCUCCCUGCCACUUUCACUGACCUGGUCACUCAGGGAAACUACCUGUGGACACUGGCCGGGGUCCAAGGCUAGCAUCCACAGCCACAGGAGGCUCCUGGGGGCAGGCUCCCCGUCUUGCCUCCCUCUGCCUGUGCCAGGAGACCUCUGCAUGACAGAAAGCCAACUUCCUGGCACCCUGUUUACCCCCUCUCCCCUCCUCUUUCCUCUCCUCUUCCAGUCAACCCCCACGCCCAUUCUCUCUGGUGGAGUCUGGAGACCAGGAGACUGGAGUCCAGGAGACCCCUUGGCAGCCUGAUCCAUCCCACCAUCUUGGUUCUAUUAGACCUGUCAGAGGUGGGACUUAAUCUUCCUGGGACUAUUAAUAGUCCCAUCAGGAGUGCUGAGCAGUAACCUGCCUUUAUUAGCAAGGCAGUGCCAGCUGGCGUGCCCCACCCCCACACAGGUUGCUGUGAUGUCAGCAGUGGCAACUGCGAGGAGCCAGCACCAGGCGUGGGGUGGGGGGUGGGGAUGCAGGGCAGGUGUGGCAGAGGAGGGCAAGUCAGGCCCCAUGCCUUUCAGCCUCACUCAACCUUUGACCUACUCCCUUCAUUCUUCUGCCACUUUAGGAAGUUUCUCCCGGGGCUGCAGCCUGUCCCUUUGGGCUGUGCCUAUGACAAGAGUCUGCCCAGUCUGUAAUUGUUGGGCCUGAUGCUCCAUUGCCCUAACACAGAGUCCUCUAGAGAGUGCCAGCCUGAAGGGGGGCAUCCUCUAUUGAAGACCAAUGGCUGUUUGGUUCCCUCCACCAGGCACUUCCAUACUCAGCUCCCUGCUCCCACUAGGAGCCUCGCCUCACUGUCCCUGUUCCCCCAGGGAAGGUGCUCUCUAUGGGCACCUUCCUAUGGAAACCUAUGGAAACUUCACCUAUAGUUUCACAAGGGCCAUCCAGUCCAGCUGUGAGUCAACUGCCUUGGCUGGAUUCAGAUUAGCAGAAGAAACCCAGGCAGAACGAUUUGCUUAUACACAGACAUGGAGCGGAGCCUGGGUGUCCAGCAGCUCAGACACCUGGGGAAACAGACCACAGCCAAGUUCUCUUCCCUAAGAGCAACCACUCACCCCGAGGAGGAGCAGGAGCAGGAGCAAACACGGAGGCCACGGCUCAUCUUUCCUUGCCAUUGGGCUUUCAAGACCCAUACUGAUGCCCAGGGCGUUCAUGGGGAAACUGAGUCUGGGCAGACCAAGGAGCUGCAGCCAACUUCCCAAGCCUGUAGUUAGGAGCUAGGGGCAGCGCACAGAUGAAGUUACAGAUGUGGGAAGGUCCGGGACUGCGUGGGCGGGGAGUCUCUCCUUGCUGCAAGCCCUGAUGUAACGCGCAUGUGUGUUCGAGAGAGCGUGUCAGUCACAAGUGGGCCAAGCACGCUGAGGUGGUCUGAGCCUAUGUGCCCCAGCUGAUCCCACUCCCAGGACAAUGCCUUCUUGGCGAGCAGAGUGGACCAACGACAUGGACCAGGGCCGACUCCAAGGGAAGAGCACAUAAUUUAGUCACCUUUGCUGAAUUAUUUAACCACCACGGGGGUGGGGGUGGGCAUGGGGUUACGAAGCUGAGAUUAAGCACUAAUGCUGUGCUUAAUCUGAGCAAUACAUAGUCCCCUCUUUCUGGUUUUGUUUACCAAACUGAAUUAAAGUUGCUCACAAUCAAUUAUUUGAUUCCCCCACAGGGAAGUGAGGCAUUUGCCACAGGGCACACUCACCCACUACAAGGAACCCUCCGAUCCAGAGGGGGCGCAGCAGCCCCUCACUCCUGCCACACACCUGAUGCCCACCCUGACCCCUAAAUCCUUCAGAAAAAAUCUAGUGACCUGACCCUGCCGCUGCCUGUGACACUGACAGGCCAGCCCAGAGCUGCAGCGCGCACCGGUGAGAACGCCCUGUCUCUCCUGGACUCUCUAGCUGAGGUACCGUGAGCAUCUUUCCUCCAGGCACAGAGGCUGAAGAGGUCAGGGGACCUGCCCCAGGUGACAGGCAGUAAAGGACAGUGGAGGAGCCACUGAAGUCAUAGUCACACCCCCAGGUCGGUCCCCACGCUGCUGCUAGUCACCGAUGGGUAAGGAAAUGCCUCUGUCACUCCCCAAGGGGAAGUGCAAACCCACCUUUCCCUCCUCAGCUUCCCUCAUACAGGCAAACAAACCUGGCGGAGUCAGCGCCACCCGCCACGCCACCGGUGGGACCGCCACUGGUGGGACCACGACAUCAAACACAAAGGAGCAGGAAACAGAAGGACCACCCUGUUCCUAGCGACAUCUUUGAGCCACCAUCCCAUUCAGAAAUACCGUAUAGCAUUCCUAGACCUCUGAUUGGACCAGCCAAAGCAAACCUGCCCUUGUCAAGGCCUCUGCUGGUGUUUCCCAUUACUGCCUGAGGCUUUCCCAGCUGAUAAGAUUCAGACACAAGCGUUUGCUGCCAGAGCCCCUGAUCAACCUGCUCCAGUGGUGCUGUGACUGCGCUGGGCCAAGGGAAUGGCACUGUUAGGAGGUGGGACUAGAUGUGUCCCUGUGGGCGUGGGCCUUAAGACCCUCAUCCCAGCCACCUGGAAGCCAGUAUUCUGCUAGCAGCCUUCAGGUGAGGAUGUAGAACUCUCAGCUCCUCCUGCACCAUGCCUGUCUGGAUGCUGCCAUGCUCCUGCCUCGAUGAUACUGGACUGAACCUCUGAACCUAUAAGCCAGCCCCAAUUAAAUGUUGUCCUUAUAA
Rattus norvegicus (Norway rat) is the source of this 12638-nucleotide long non-coding RNA. RefSeq lists it as uncharacterized. NCBI's taxonomy places the organism in Eukaryota, Metazoa, Chordata, Mammalia, Rodentia, Muridae. The record is from RefSeq and is a predicted model, not a curated record.